RNAcentral lists this unclassified non-coding RNA (367 nucleotides) under Hevea brasiliensis (rubber tree). The record is from RNAcentral. Lineage: Eukaryota; Viridiplantae; Streptophyta; Magnoliopsida; Malpighiales; Euphorbiaceae.
UGUGACCAGAAUGAAGGAGGGCCAGAAUGAUAUUUACUACAUUACUGGUGAGAGCAAGAAGGCUGUUGAGAACUCUCCCUUCCUGGAGAAACUGAAGAAGAAGGGAUAUGAGGUGCUUUACAUGGUUGAUGCCAUUGAUGAGUAUUCAAUUGGUCAGCUGAAGGAAUUUGAGGGCAAAAAGCUUGUUUCUGCUACCAAGGAAGGCCUCAAGCUUGAUGAGAGUGAAGAUGAGAAGAAAAAGCAGGAAGAAUUGAAGGAGAAGUUUGAGGGACUGUGUAAGGUGAUGAAGGAUGUGCUAGGAGACAAAGUUGAAAAGGUCAUUGUUUCUGACCGUGUUGUUGACUCUCCCUGCUGUUUGGUCACUGGU